Molecule: ribosomal RNA, 500 nt
Filed under: uncultured bacterium
Lineage: Bacteria
Description: bacterial SSU rRNA
Rfam family: Bacterial small subunit ribosomal RNA
Source: RNAcentral
AUUGAACGCUGGCGGCAUGCUUUACACAUGCAAGUCGAACGGUAACAGGCCUUCGGGUGCUGACGAGUGGCGAACGGGUGAGUAAUGCAUCGGAACGUGCCCAAUCGUGGGGGAUAACGUAGCGAAAGUUACGCUAAUACCGCAUAAGCCCUGAGGGGGAAAGCAGGGAUCGCAAGACCUUGCGCGAAUGGAGCGGCCGAUGUCAGAUUAGCUAGUUGGUGGGGUAAAGGCCUACCAAGGCGACGAUCUGUAGCGGGUCUGAGAGGAUGAUCCGCCACACUGGGACUGAGACACGGCCCAGACUCCUACGGGAGGCAGCAGUAGGGAAUAUUGGGCAAUGGACGAAAGUCUGACCCAGCCACGCCGCGUGAAGGAUGACUGCCCUAUGGGUUGUAAACUUCUUUUGUAUGGGAAGAAAUUACCGAACGUGUUCGGAGCUGACGGUACCAUAAGAAUAAGCAUCGGCUAACUCCGUGCCAGCAGCCGCGGUAAUGUAGUCG